Molecule: ribosomal RNA, 800 nt
Filed under: Bacillus subtilis
Lineage: Bacteria; Bacillati; Bacillota; Bacilli; Caryophanales; Bacillaceae
Description: bacterial SSU rRNA
Rfam family: Bacterial small subunit ribosomal RNA
Source: RNAcentral
GCAAGUCGAGCGGACAGAUGGGAGCUUGCUCCCUGAUGUUAGCGGCGGACGGGUGAGUAACACGUGGGUAACCUGCCUGUAAGACUGGGAUAACUCCGGGAAACCGGGGCUAAUACCGGAUGGUUGUUUGAACCGCAUGGUUCAAACAUAAAAGGUGGCUUCGGCUACCACUUACAGAUGGACCCGCGGCGCAUUAGCUAGUUGGUGAGGUAACGGCUCACCAAGGCGACGAUGCGUAGCCGACCUGAGAGGGUGAUCGGCCACACUGGGACUGAGACACGGCCCAGACUCCUACGGGAGGCAGCAGUAGGGAAUCUUCCGCAAUGGACGAAAGUCUGACGGAGCAACGCCGCGUGAGUGAUGAAGGUUUUCGGAUCGUAAAGCUCUGUUGUUAGGGAAGAACAAGUACCGUUCGAAUAGGGCGGUACCUUGACGGUACCUAACCAGAAAGCCACGGCUAACUACGUGCCAGCAGCCGCGGUAAUACGUAGGUGGCAAGCGUUGUCCGGAAUUAUUGGGCGUAAAGGGCUCGCAGGCGGUUUCUUAAGUCUGAUGUGAAAGCCCCCGGCUCAACCGGGGAGGGUCAUUGGAAACUGGGGAACUUGAGUGCAGAAGAGGAGAGUGGAAUUCCACGUGUAGCGGUGAAAUGCGUAGAGAUGUGGAGGAACACCAGUGGCGAAGGCGACUCUCUGGUCUGUAACUGACGCUGAGGAGCGAAAGCGUGGGGAGCGAACAGGAUUAGAUACCCUGGUAGUCCACGCCGUAAACGAUGAGUGCUAAGUGUUAGGGGGUUUCCGCCC